AACCCAGGCAGUAGCAUCGUUUCACAAUGUUUCCAUCAUCAUCAUCAGUGGAUGCCUUUGCCGUCCGUAGCCUGAGAUUUCAGAUUUGCAGCAAAAAAAUUUGAUUUUCUCAUUUAUUGGAAUGCUGUGCAGGUAUUUGUACCUUGCAGCCAUCCAUUACAAUGUCACCAAGCCGUAACAAAAGCAGGAGAGGGAAAGUACAAGGCUAUGUUCCCAAAACACACAAGUGACAUACCUUAUGUGGAGGAUGUGAUCAGGCUUGUGUUUGAUGAGGUAUUUGAAGAUAAGCUGAAGGAAGCCCUGAUUCCAAUGGACCUGGCAUCACAGUUUGAGAGACCUUCAAAGGAGGACGUGAUUGCAUGCCAUCUUCAGUGCAGGGGUCGUCGAAAGCCAAAACUGUGACCGAUCUGAUCAGGAAGCUCCAAGCGUAUCUGGAGAACAACACACGACAGGAUGAUAACCUUAUAGUGUCGUCUUAAAUAGCACCAGCUGACAAAGCUUUGCUGUGCCAUUUAUCUGAAUAGAUAGCUGUAAGAAAUGAAUUGAACAAUUUUUGAAACAAGAGCACAAUAUGGUUACUAAAGUAUGUUUAUUUGUAU
Paramisgurnus dabryanus is the source of this 599-nucleotide long non-coding RNA. RefSeq lists it as uncharacterized. The record is from RefSeq and is a predicted model, not a curated record. NCBI's taxonomy places the organism in Eukaryota, Metazoa, Chordata, Actinopteri, Cypriniformes, Cobitidae.